UACAGAGGGGGCAAGCGUUGUUCGGAAUUAUUGGGCGUAAAGAGCUCGUAGGCGGUUUGUCGCGUCUGCCGUGAAAGUCCGGGGCUCAACUCCGGAUCUGCGGUGGGUACGGGCAGACUAGAGUGAUGUAGGGGAGACUGGAAUUCCUGGUGUAGCGGUGAAAUGCGCAGAUAUCAGGAGGAACACCGAUGGCGAAGGCAGGUCUCUGGGCAUUAACUGACGCUGAGGAGCGAAAGCAUGGGGAGCGAACAGG
RNAcentral lists this ribosomal RNA (253 nucleotides) under uncultured bacterium. RNAcentral describes it as "partial 16S ribosomal RNA". It matches the Rfam family "Bacterial small subunit ribosomal RNA", at positions 524 to 776 of the family's 1533-position model. The record is from RNAcentral.